CAAAGAAUAGUUUAAAAAAAAUUAUAAUUUUGGAGAUUAUAGAUAAAGAGUUUCUUUUUCUUUGA
This 65-nucleotide transfer RNA is filed under the name Lethe helle. RNAcentral describes it as "tRNA-Pro". The record is from RNAcentral. Lineage: Eukaryota; Metazoa; Arthropoda; Insecta; Lepidoptera; Nymphalidae.